This 440-nucleotide ribosomal RNA is filed under the name uncultured bacterium. Its description in RNAcentral is "bacterial SSU rRNA". It matches the Rfam family "Bacterial small subunit ribosomal RNA", at positions 338 to 786 of the family's 1533-position model. The record is from RNAcentral.
CCUACGGGUGGCUGCAGUCGAGGAUCUUCGGCAAUGGGCGCAAGCCUGACCGAGCGACGCCGCGUGCGCGACGAAGGCCUUCGGGUUGUAAAGCGCUGUCGAGGGGGAGGAAAGCCGCAAGGCCUGACCGACCCCUGGAGGAAGCACGGGCUAAGUUCGUGCCAGCAGCCGCGGUAAGACGAACCGUGCGAACGUUGUUCGGAAUCACUGGGCUUAAAGGGCGCGUAGGCGGGCGGCCCCGUCGGGGGUGAAAUCCUUCCGCCCAACGGAGGGAUGGCCUCCGAGACCGGCCGCCUCGAGGGGGGUAGGGGCACGCGGAACUUCCGGUGGAGCGGUGAAAUGCGUAGAGAUCGGAAGGAACGCCGGUGGCGAAAGCGGCGUGCUGGGCCCCUUCUGACGCUGAGGCGCGAAAGCCAGGGGAGCGAACGGGAUUAGAUACC